GGCGUCAAAAAGCUAGAUUUCAAAUCACUUGUGUGAGGACCUCAGGGUCUACAUCCGUAUCAAUAUUGGCAGGAUAUCACCUUUAAUAUUCACAGGAAAGAAAACUACUGAAGUGGCCAGACCAACACAGCUUAGCUGGCUAUGAUUGUGCUGGCGGAAGAAAUUCCAUAAAUGCAGAAAAUUUCAGACAGAUGGGUUCCGAAGAUCAGAUGGCAGUGGCAGAAUUCCUUUUUUCCAGGGGGUAAAUCCCCCAACCACCAGACCAGACACUAAUGUUUACCUGUCCUUCAUCACAUGUUGUUGAUGGAACCAGUUCGUCCUU
This is a long non-coding RNA of Protopterus annectens (West African lungfish), 322 nucleotides long. RefSeq lists it as uncharacterized. Lineage: Eukaryota; Metazoa; Chordata; Ceratodontiformes; Protopteridae. The transcript has 3 exons. The record is from RefSeq and is a predicted model, not a curated record.